CCUACGGGUGGCUGCAGUGGGGAAUAUUGGACAAUGGGCGGAAGCCUGAUCCAGCAACGCCGCGUGAGGGAUGACGGCCUUCGGGUUGUAAACCUCUUUCACCAUUGACGAAGCCGCAUCUUUUUGGUGGGGUGACGGUAGGUGGGGAAGAAGCACCGGCCAACUACGUGCCAGCAGCCGCGGUAAUACGUAGGGUGCGAGCGUUGUCCGGAAUUAUUGGGCGUAAAGGGCUCGUAGGCGGUUUGUCGCGUCGGGAGUGAAAUCCUCGGGCUUAA
This 275-nucleotide ribosomal RNA is filed under the name uncultured Nocardioides sp. RNAcentral describes it as "partial 16S ribosomal RNA". It matches the Rfam family "Bacterial small subunit ribosomal RNA", at positions 338 to 612 of the family's 1533-position model. Lineage: Bacteria; Bacillati; Actinomycetota; Actinomycetes; Propionibacteriales; Nocardioidaceae. The record is from RNAcentral.